This is a long non-coding RNA of Octopus sinensis (East Asian common octopus), 134 nucleotides long. RefSeq lists it as uncharacterized. The transcript has 3 exons. NCBI's taxonomy places the organism in Eukaryota, Metazoa, Mollusca, Cephalopoda, Octopoda, Octopodidae. The record is from RefSeq and is a predicted model, not a curated record.
UAUUAGGGACAGCUAAGAUACUUAGGAGGGUUCUUGACAUCUAAGGCAACUUGUAGCCCGAUGUUAGGAUUCUUUUCUUUGCCAACAGUCUAAUCUGCUGAGUGUAUAAUAAUGAUAAUAAUAAUAAUAAUAAU